RNAcentral lists this ribosomal RNA (468 nucleotides) under uncultured bacterium. Its description in RNAcentral is "bacterial SSU rRNA". It matches the Rfam family "Archaeal small subunit ribosomal RNA", at positions 102 to 568 of the family's 1478-position model. The record is from RNAcentral.
GGACAACCUACCCUUUGGACGGGGAUAAACCCGGGAAACUGGGUAUAAUACCCGAUAGAUCUCAUUGGCUGGAAUGCCUUGAGCUCGAAAGCUCCGGCGCCAAAGGAUGGGUCUGCGGCCUAUCAGGUAGUAGUGGGUGUAGUGUACCUACUAGCCUACGACGGGUACGGGUUGUGAGAGCAAGAGCCCGGAGAUGGAUUCUGAGACACGAAUCCAGGCCCUACGGGGUGCAGCAGGCGCGAAAAACUUUACAAUGCUGGCAACAGCGAUAAGGGAACCUCGAGUGCCAGGUUACAAAUCUGGCUGUCGUUGUGUCUAAAAAACACGAUAUAGCAAGGGCCGGGCAAGACCGGUGCCAAGCCGCCGCGGUAACACCGGCGGCUCGAGUGGUAACCGUUAUUAUUGGGUCUAAAAGGGUCUGUAGCCGGCCGGAUAAGUCUCUUGGGAAAUCCGGCAGCUUAACUGUCC